This 721-nucleotide ribosomal RNA is filed under the name Symploca sp. HPC-14. RNAcentral describes it as "bacterial SSU rRNA". It matches the Rfam family "Bacterial small subunit ribosomal RNA", at positions 55 to 820 of the family's 1533-position model. The record is from RNAcentral. Lineage: Bacteria; Bacillati; Cyanobacteriota; Cyanophyceae; Coleofasciculales; Coleofasciculaceae.
AUGCUAGUCGAACGCACCUUUCGGGGUGAGUGGCGGACGGGUGAGUAACGCGUGAGAAUCUGCCUUUUGGUCGGGGACAACCACNGGAAACGGUGGCGAAUACCGGAUGUGCCUACGGGUAAAAGAUUUAUUGCCAAAAGAGGAGCUCGCGUCUGAUUAGCUAGUUGGUGGGGUAAGAGCCUACCANGGCAGCNAUCAGUAGCUGGUCUGAGAGGACNAUCAGCCACACUGGGACUGAAACACGGCCCAGACUCCUACGGGAGGCAGCNGUGGGGAAUUUUCCGCAAUGGGCGAAAGCCUGACGGAGCAAUACCGCGUGAGGGAGGAAGGCUCUUGGGUCGUAAACCUCUUUUGUCAGGGAAGAACACAAUGACGGUMCCUGACGAAUCAGCAUCGGCUAACUCCGUGCCAGCMGCCGCGGUAAUACGGASGAUGCAAGCGUUAUCCGGAAUUAUUGGGCGUAAAGCGUCCGCAGGUGGCUUGUCAAGUCUGCUGUCAAAGACUGGGGCUUAACUCCGGGCAGGCAGUGGAAACUGACAGGCUAGAGUGCAGGAGGGGUAGAGGGAAUUCCCGGUGUAGCGGUGAAAUGCGUAGAUAUCGGGAAGAACAUCGGUGGCGAAGGCGCUCUACUGGACUGCAACUGACACUCAGGGACGAAAGCUAGGGGAGCGAAUGGGAUUAGAUACCCCAGUAGUCCUAGCCGUAAACGAUGGAUACUAGA